RNAcentral lists this ribosomal RNA (468 nucleotides) under uncultured bacterium. RNAcentral describes it as "partial 16S ribosomal RNA". It matches the Rfam family "Bacterial small subunit ribosomal RNA", at positions 28 to 507 of the family's 1533-position model. The record is from RNAcentral.
GACGAACGCUGGCGGCGUGCUUAACACAUGCAAGUCGAACGGAAAGGCCCUGCUUUUGCGGGGUGCUCGAGUGGCGAACGGGUGAGUAACACGUGAGUAACCUGCCCCUGACUUUGGGAUAACUUCAGGAAACUGGGGCUAAUACCGGAUAGGAGCUCCUGCUGCAUGGUGGGGGUUGGAAAGUUUCGGCGGUUGGGGAUGGACUCGCGGCUUAUCAGCUUGUUGGUGGGGUAGUGGCUUACCAAGGCUUUGACGGGUAGCCGGCCUGAGAGGGUGACCGGCGACCAUGGGACUGCGAUACGGCCCAGACUCCUACGGGAGGCAGCGGUGGGGAGUAUUGCACAGUGGGCCGACGCCUGAUGCGGCGACGCCGCGUGCGUGAUGACGGCCUUCGGGUUGUGAACCGCUUUCGCCUGUGACGAAGCGUGAGUGACGGUAAUGGGUAAGGAAGCACCGGCUAACUACGUG